UACGUAGGGGGCAAGCGCUGUCCGGAUUUAUUGGGCGUAAAGAGCUCGUAGGUGGUUCGGUAAGUCGGAUGUGAAAUCUCCAGGCUCAACCUGGAGGGGUCAUUCGAUACUGCCGUGACUAGAGGUCGGUAGGGGAGUGUGGAAUUCCUGGUGGAGCGGUGAAAUGCGCAGAUAUCAGGAGGAACACCCGUAGCGAAGGCGGCACUCUGGGCCGAUACUGACACUGAGGAGCGAAAGCGUGGGGAGCGAACAGG
RNAcentral lists this ribosomal RNA (254 nucleotides) under uncultured bacterium. Its description in RNAcentral is "partial 16S ribosomal RNA". It matches the Rfam family "Bacterial small subunit ribosomal RNA", at positions 524 to 776 of the family's 1533-position model. The record is from RNAcentral.